This 701-nucleotide ribosomal RNA is filed under the name Arthrobacter sp. 47Pb1a. RNAcentral's name for it is "bacterial SSU rRNA". It matches the Rfam family "Bacterial small subunit ribosomal RNA", at positions 105 to 818 of the family's 1533-position model. Lineage: Bacteria; Bacillati; Actinomycetota; Actinomycetes; Micrococcales; Micrococcaceae. The record is from RNAcentral.
GGUGAAGUAACACGUGAGUAACCUGCCCUUAACUCUGGGAUAAGCCUGGGAAACUGGGUCUAAUACCGGAUAUGACUGANUAUCGCAUGGUGGUUGGUGGAAAGCUUUUUGUGGUUUUGGAUGGACUCGCGGCCUAUCAGCUUGUUGGUGAGGUAAUGGCUUACCAAGGCGACGACGGGUAGCCGGCCUGAGAGGGUGACCGGCCACACUGGGACUGAGACACGGCCCAGACUCCUACGGGAGGCAGCAGUGGGGAAUAUUGCACAAUGGGCGCAAGCCUGAUGCAGCGACGCCGCGUGAGGGAUGACGGCCUUCGGGUUGUAAACCUCUUUCAGUAGGGAAGAAGCGAAAGUGACGGUACCUGCAGAAGAAGCGCCGGCUAACUACGUGCCAGCAGCCGCGGUAAUACGUAGGGCGCAAGCGUUAUCCGGAAUUAUUGGGCGUAAAGAGCUCGUAGGCGGUUUGUCGCGUCUGCCGUGAAAGUCCGGGGCUCAACUCCGGAUCUGCGGUGGGUACGGGCAGACUAGAGUGAUGUAGGGGAGACUGGAAUUCCUGGUGUAGCGGUGAAAUGCGCAGAUAUCAGGAGGAACACCGAUGGCGAAGGCAGGUCUCUGGGCAUUAACUGACGCUGAGGAGCGAAAGCAUGGGGAGCGAACAGGAUUAGAUACCCUGGUAGUCCAUGCCGUAAACGUUGGGCACUA